This 468-nucleotide ribosomal RNA is filed under the name uncultured bacterium. RNAcentral's name for it is "partial 16S ribosomal RNA". It matches the Rfam family "Bacterial small subunit ribosomal RNA", at positions 28 to 507 of the family's 1533-position model. The record is from RNAcentral.
GACGAACGCUGGCGGCGCGCCUAACACAUGCAAGUCGAACGGAGCUGAGAGAAGCUUGCUUUUCUUAGCUUAGUGGCGAACGGGUGAGUAACGCGUGAGUAACCUGCCCUGGAGUGGGGGACAACAGGUGGAAACGACUGCUAAUACCGCAUAAGCCCACGAUCCGGCAUCGGAUUGAGGGAAAAGGAUUUAUUCGCUUCAGGAUGGACUCGCGUCCAAUUAGCUAGUUGGUGAGGUAACGGCCCACCAAGGCGACGAUUGGUAGCCGGACUGAGAGGUUGAACGGCCACAUUGGGACUGAGACACGGCCCAGACUCCUACGGGAGGCAGCAGUGGGGGAUAUUGCACAAUGGGGGAAACCCUGAUGCAGCGACGCCGCGUGGAGGAAGAAGGUUUUCGGAUUGUAAACUCCUGUCGUUAGGGACGAUAAUGACGGUACCUAACAAGAAAGCACCGGCUAACUACGUG